AUAAUCAGGAUAAAAUUAAUGCAUGUCACCUGAAAAAGGCCUCCGCGUGUGAGGGAGCCGGCUCCCCCUGCACAGCCCGCUACACUGCCAUGCGAGAGGGAGCCCUGGAUUCCGCGGUAAGGUUGUCACACCAAGGCUGGGAGGGAGAGCGCCUCUCACAUCACAUGGAGGCUGCGAGGGAGACGGCUGAGAGGCCAUGGGAGGGAGAGGGCUCAAAAGUCGGCACACACUCGCAUUGCAAGAGGGAGGGAGCCACGACCUUUUAUUGGG
This 270-nucleotide long non-coding RNA is filed under the name Sorghum bicolor (sorghum). RNAcentral describes it as "long non-coding RNA (SBIC_LNC001168)". Lineage: Eukaryota; Viridiplantae; Streptophyta; Magnoliopsida; Poales; Poaceae. The record is from RNAcentral.